UAAUACCAGCUCCCCGAGUGGUCGGGACGAUUACUGGGCCUAAAGCGCCCGUAGCCGGCCCAGUACGUCUCCUGUUAAAUCCACCGGCUCAACCGGUGGGCCGCGGGAGAUACUACUGGGCUAGGAGACGGGAGAGGCCGGGGGUAUUCCCGGGGUAGGGGUAAAAUCCUCUGAUCCCGGGAGGACCACCAGUGGCGAAGGCGCCCGGCCAGAACGUGCUCGACGGUGAGGGGCGAAAACUGGGGGAGCGAACCGGAUUAGAUACCCGGGUAGUCCCAGCUGUAAACGAUGCGGGCUAGGUGCUGGAGGGGCUGCGGGCCUCCCCAGUGCCGCAGGGAAGCCGUUAAGCCCGCCGCCUGGGGAGUACGGCUGCAAGGCUGAAACUUAAAGGAAUUGGCGGGGGGGCACCACAAGGGUGAAGCCUGCGGUUC
Molecule: ribosomal RNA, 431 nt
Filed under: uncultured archaeon
Lineage: Archaea
Description: bacterial SSU rRNA
Rfam family: Archaeal small subunit ribosomal RNA
Source: RNAcentral